This 22-nucleotide non-coding RNA is filed under the name Mus musculus (house mouse). The record is from RNAcentral. RNAcentral also lists the same sequence under 1 other name. Lineage: Eukaryota; Metazoa; Chordata; Mammalia; Rodentia; Muridae.
UCGUAACAAGGUUUCCGUAGGU